ACCAGCGAUGGUGAAGUGAUGGAUGGAUCCCCUUGUUAUUGUUGUUGUUGUGGGUUCUGAUUCCUGUUUCCCGUUCCAAUGCUUCUGCUACUGUUUAUGCGAUUUCGAUGCGAGGGAGGGAUGGCGCAUUAAAGUGGGUCUCCCAAAGCACCACCCCUGCUGUGUGGUCGGUGUCGAGAAUCACCGUGGUCGGAAAAUGGGAAUGCGAAUGGUUGCUCCCCACGUUGGUUGUUUGUGGCCUUCCAGAAACUGUAGGUCUUCCUAGCUUGGUUGCAACUGCUCACUGUUGGAUUCUGUAGGGACCCCAUUUACAGUGAAACCAUUUUCCACGCACAACAUGAAAGGGUUUUCAGGGCAUAAUCAGCAGCAGCCCGGCAGAUGUGCGUAUGGGGUUAUUGCAAUUCCAACCCAAACGAUUGCUGUUUGUUCAUUAGCUCAUUGCCCUCCUCAUGGGAAGGUGGCCAUAUUCCCCAGCUGGAAACUUAGUACUUGUCUUUGAUCUGUGCGCAGCUUGCUCCAUUGAAAAGCUGUGCAGCCAAAGGUUUCAAACACGUGGAGGUAUGUUGUUCGACAUAUAGGAACUUGCAGCUUGUGCAGAAUAACAAUCGGAUUAUUCAUAUGUUAUACCUGUCUUGUGGUAUCAGAUGUAGGAUGAAUGAUCUUAAAAUGCAUUUUCUUAUUACCAUAGAAUCAACUAAUAUACUUGAUUGGAAGUUUACUCUGCCCUGCCAUUUCCGUUUCAUAGAAAUGCACUCCUGAUAAGCGUUCGUUUUCGUCAAGAAGGAUCCUUGUAUGUAGAAAUGUAUUUUCUGUGGGCCAAUAUCGUAUUGGACAUGUUUCACAAGUUGAUGCAGUGACGAUGUUUUGAUGCAAUGACGAUGCAGUUGAUGCAAUGACCUCUGCCAAGUAUAAUUUCAGGUAACUGUAGCAGCCCGUACAUGCAUGAACAUAUUCUCUGUGUGGUUUUUGAAGAACUUAACAGGAUCGAACUACUUUCGAGGAUGUCACUCCUCUGGUACUUCUAUGUAUACAAGAAAAUUUUGGAACUUGGUGAAACAGUAUUACUCGAAUAAGCCCAAUGGCAUUAAUUUUGAGCAGUUGAAGGUUACGAAUUGCUUCCCACAGAAGACAUUUGACAUGAUGGUUGAUUGUGUGGACGGUGGAGAGUACUUUCUUCCUAUCAAGCAUGUCAUCGGUCCCGGUGUUGCAUGUAGAUGUGGCGGUUCCUGCUGCUGAGCUCCUCGCACUCUCACAAUAUGUUACCACUGAGCAGGAGUACUGAGGAAGGGCGUCUCUCAUCUACAUGAAUAAGCAAGGGAUUGCCGCAGAUGAUGUUGCAGACUCCCUGCGAAUCUUACAGUUGGAUAAUCUACUGCUACAAUUUUGCUUACUUUUGGUGAAGUGAGCCCAGAUGUGUUCGAUCAAGCACUGGACGUCAGCCGAGGAUGCUGUUACUGAGAUCAAAGGAUGACGAACAACUCGAUACUUCUUGCAAUCUGUUGAACUGCUACAGUGAGACAACUUCACUUUUAAAAGCUUUACACAUGCUGUAAUGCUUGUUUACAGAACUGAGUAUUAACCAGUUAUGAAUACAUGCUAUAAAUACCUCCGAUGGCACAGUUUGAAAUCCAUGGACUUCGACCGUAGAAAUCGAUAAGUUGUAGUUUCUUCUACACAAAUUAAAAGGAUUUGAUUUUUGUGUGUGACUGGUUGUAGGCUAAAGCUUUUUGUCUGUGAAUCAGAGACAUCUUGAAUUUCAGGAACCGCUUUUGCUGCAAACCUUGGAAUCCUGUCCAAAUUAAUUUGUCUUCGAAUUUAUCUCA
Physcomitrium patens is the source of this 1823-nucleotide non-coding RNA. The record is from RefSeq and is a predicted model, not a curated record. Lineage: Eukaryota; Viridiplantae; Streptophyta; Bryopsida; Funariales; Funariaceae.